RNAcentral lists this long non-coding RNA (1972 nucleotides) under Homo sapiens (human). RNAcentral's name for it is "HSALNT0408622". Lineage: Eukaryota; Metazoa; Chordata; Mammalia; Primates; Hominidae. The record is from RNAcentral.
CCGCCGCGGCCUCGCCGGGCCUGGCUGGCCUGUUUGUUCUAUACUUCUAAUGUUUAAUAAUUACCCAGAGCUUUGGAUAUAUGCAAUUCUGCAAAAUAAAUCAAAAGGAGUCAGAAGGCAAUUUUAUUUCCUAAUAGACCCUUAGUUAGAAUUUAACUUAAAAGCCAUUUUUAACAAAUGUAAACAAUAUCUCCCCUCCUCUCCAUCAAAGUCUGACGGAGACAAAUGAAAAGAUUUUUUAGAAGAAUAGGACUAUAUCAAGACCAAAAAAAAAAAAAAAAGCUAAGAAAGGGUACCAUCAACAAUCUUUACAGAACUUCUGGAAAGUAAAAAGCAAAUGGUACUGGCCUGGGGAAUAACCAAAGAAAAUGAAACCUCAGCCCCGGAUGGCAAAGGACACAACUGGAGAAACUAGUUAUUUCACCAAGGCUUUGACUGGAAUGGCAUGCUUCUUUAAAGAAUCAAAGUUGACUUGUAGAGCCAAUAAAAGCCCCUUGGGAAAUGUGGCCUCAUACCUUGUCUAUGCCAUCUCUGUACAAGAUUCCCGACUUGUGAUUUCAUAGUGUUUACUGAUGGACCAUGUACUUGGGAUAAAUUGGCCAACUGAAGGUUUCUUAUGCUGUGGUGUCUGAUCAUGAGCUCUUGGAAGCUUAUGUUUUGUCUGGAAUUAAGUUGGCACAAGUAGACAUCCUGAGACAUAAAGUGAAAAGGACCUAGAAGGAACUACUGGAAGAAAUAUCACCCCUAUUAAACUGGGCAAUUUUGUUUAAAUAUGAGUGUUCUGGAGGAAACAUGCAUUGUCACCAGGCUGGAUGGGACCCUUUCAAGUGCCACGAUCACUCAUAUGGGUAUCAGAGUGAAAGAAAAACCAGAUGGUUUCAUGCUUUCCAUGUGAAGCCAGCUCCUCAGGAGGACUAGACUGCAGUUUCCACAAAGGAUUUGAAGUUUAAUUUCCUAGAGUGACUAAUAUUGGUAAUGAACUCAACUGAAAGGAGGUAUUCUAAGGAAUGUAUUAUUCUGACUACCUUGCUGUCCUAGUUGCAAUAGUGUUUUGUUCAAUUACUAUAAGAAUCACAUUUUAUUAGAAAAUAAACAUGUUAUUUGUUACACCACUUUUUCUUUCUGUACUCCCAAUAAUGGUUCCUACAGUCACAUUUCCUCUCUCCUCUGAAUUGUAUUCCCAGUACAGAAAUGCUGGGCCUGCAUUUAUGAAUCCAACAGUCUGAUUAUUGGCCAAAUAAACACAAGACCAUGUUCAUUACUAUGUUUUAAUAUCAAAGUAAAAGUAACUACUAUGCAUCCAGAAACCAAAGCCCUAAAUUUCACACAAAAAAAUUUGUUAACUGGUUUGAUUGGAAGUAUAGUAUAGAAAAGAAAUGCAUCUAAUUAAGUGUCUGGCAUUUAUGGAUAGAGACCUCAGAAGACAGCUCUAAUGUCAAUCGAUUAACUUGAGAAUAGAAGUUUUCUCCAGUCCUACUAUGGAUAGAUAAACAAAGGUGGAUAUGCCUGUUAUCUAUGGUUAUUUAGUUAACUGUUAUAAUAAUAUAACUACUGGUUUGGACCGAGGUAAGAAAUGGCCCAAAAGUUGGCUUUGUCCUCCAGACUUAAAACUAUUAGAGCCAUGUACACUAAACACUGGAAAUUCAAUCUGUGCCCUUCAACGGGUACUUCAUAAUAAGACUUUGAUACUAUAUAAUGGCCACGAGUGUCUUUGCAUUUUGCAUCUGGGAGAAAUUAUUUGGGAAGAUGGGAUAAUUACCAAAAGGCCUAGUUUAUCCUAUAAAUGCAAUAUUACUCCUGUGACUGCUGAGAACUCAGAGGAAAUUCAUUGGGCCUUACAAGAAAAACUCAGUUAAAAAACAUAUAUUAUCAGGCUCCAGAGUUAAGCUAUUAACUCGGCUAGGAUAGGGAUUUCUUUCUUUUUUGUUUGUUUGUUUGUUUUCUGAAGAUGGAUUCUCACUCAAUAGCCCAG